Molecule: long non-coding RNA, 205 nt
Filed under: Mytilus galloprovincialis (Mediterranean mussel)
Lineage: Eukaryota; Metazoa; Mollusca; Bivalvia; Mytilida; Mytilidae
Source: RNAcentral
UUUGUUUCCAGUUUUUGGAGAAAAAAAAUAAUUUGUUUUUGAUUCUGAGAAAAAAAAAUUGUUUGUUUCACCCUUAGCUGCCACUAUAUGUAAUGCUAAAAUUGAAAGAAAAAAAUUGUUUUCGACUUGUCGCGAAAAAAAUAGAUUGUUUUUCGCCGCAGGCGAAAAAAAAAUUUGUCCAGAAAAAAAAACCAUAGCCCCCCCC